GAGGGCAAGUCUGGUGCCAGCAGCCGCGGUAAUUCCAGCUCCAAUAGCGUGUAUUAAAGUUGUUGCAGUUAAAAAGCUCGUAGUUGAACUUCGGGGUCUACCCAUUGGUCAGGCUUAAUUGUCUGCACUGGUGAGAUGGAUCUCUACCUUCUGAGGAACUUUCAUGCCAUUUAUUUGGUGUGGUUGGAAAUCAGGACUGUUACUUUGAAAAAAUUAGAGUGUUUAAAGCAGACUAUCGUCUGAAUACAUUAGCAUGGAAUAAUGAAAUAGGACGGACUGAUUCUAUUUCGUUGGUUUCUAGGAUCACCGUAAUGAUUAAUAGGGAUAGUUGGGGGCAUUAGUAUUCAAUUGUCAGAGGUGAAAUUCUUGGAUUUAUUGAAGACUAACUACUGCGAAAGCAUUUGCCAAGGAUGUUUUCAUUAAUCAAGAACGAAAGUUAGGGGAUCGAAGACGAUCAGAUACCGUCGUAGUCUUAACCAUAAACUAUGCCGACUAGGGAUCGGACGAAGUUAAUUUUAUAAUGACGCGUUCGGCGCCUUACGGAAAC
Molecule: ribosomal RNA, 547 nt
Filed under: uncultured Glomeromycotina
Lineage: Eukaryota; Fungi; Glomeromycota
Description: SSU rRNA
Rfam family: Eukaryotic small subunit ribosomal RNA
Source: RNAcentral